RNAcentral lists this ribosomal RNA (382 nucleotides) under uncultured bacterium. Its description in RNAcentral is "bacterial SSU rRNA". It matches the Rfam family "Bacterial small subunit ribosomal RNA", at positions 28 to 414 of the family's 1533-position model. The record is from RNAcentral.
GACGAACGCUGGCGGCGUGCUUAACACAUGCAAGUCGAGCGGUAAGGCCCUUUCGGGGGUACACGAGCGGCGAACGGUGAGUAACACGUGGGUGACCUGCCCUCAGCUCUGGGAUAAGCCUGGGAAACCGGGUCUAAUACUGGAUAUGACUCCAUGACGCAUGUUGUGGGGUGGAAAGCCUUGUGCGGCUGAGGAUGGGCCCGCGGCCUAUCAGCUUGUUGGUGGGGUGAGGCCUACCAAGGCGACGACGGGUAGCCGGCCUGAGAGGGCGACCGGCCACACUGGGACUGAGACACGGCCCAGACUCCUACGGGAGGCAGCAGUGGGGAAUCUUGCGCAAUGGGCAAAGCCUGACGCAGCGACGCCGCGUGAGGGAUGACGG